UACGUAGGCAGCGAGCGUUGUUCGGAAUUACUGGGCGUAAAGAGUGUGUAGGCGGUGUUCCCAGUCUGUUGUGAAAUCUCCCGGCUUAACUGGGAGGGGUCAUCCGAUACUGGCGGGCUCGAGGCAGGUAGGGGGAAGUGGAAUUCCCGGUGUAGUGGUGGAAUGCGUAGAUAUCGGGAGGAACACCAGUGGCGAAGGCGACUUCCUGGACCUGUUCUGACGCUGAGGAGCGAAAGCGUGGGGAGCAAACAGG
This 253-nucleotide ribosomal RNA is filed under the name uncultured bacterium. RNAcentral describes it as "partial 16S ribosomal RNA". It matches the Rfam family "Bacterial small subunit ribosomal RNA", at positions 524 to 776 of the family's 1533-position model. The record is from RNAcentral.